This 485-nucleotide ribosomal RNA is filed under the name uncultured bacterium. RNAcentral's name for it is "partial 16S ribosomal RNA". It matches the Rfam family "Bacterial small subunit ribosomal RNA", at positions 28 to 523 of the family's 1533-position model. The record is from RNAcentral.
GACGAACGCUGGCGGCGUGCUUAACACAUGCAAGUCGAACGGUGAAAGCGGAGCUUGCUCCGCUGGAUCAGUGGCGAACGGGUGAGUAACACGUGGGCAACCUGCCCCUCACUUCGGGAUAACUCCGGGAAACCGGGGCUAAUACCGGAUAUGACCUCCUUGGGCAUCCUUGGAGGUGGAAAGUUUUUCGGUGAGGGAUGGGCCCGCGGCCUAUCAGCUUGUUGGUGAGGUAGUGGCUCACCAAGGCGACGACGGGUAGCCGGCCUGAGAGGGGGACCGGCCAAACGGGGACUGGGACACGGCCCAGACUCCUACGGGAGGCAGCAGUGGGGAAUAUUGCGCAAUGGGCGAAAGCCUGACGCAGCAACGCCGCGUGCGGGAUGACGGCCUUCGGGUUGUAAACCGCUUUCAGCAGGGAAGAAGCCGCAAGGUGACGGUACCUGCAGAAGAAGCACCGGCUAACUACGUGCCAGCAGCCGCCGUAA